GCUGGCGGGAACGAGUGGGAGGGGUGGAGCCGCCAUUGCCUCCCGGGAGCGCGGAGCCGCAGGGGGGUCCGGGCGGGAAAGCGGCACUGCCGGGGGGCGAAGGGCCGGAGAGCGCCGAGUCGUUAAGCCGCACAACAGGCAGGCCCGCGGCAUCCCAGGGCGCAGAUCUCCAAGGACAGACAAGAACAUCCAUCCUUUCCCCUGUGCACAUCACAACAUACAAAAGCCACCAUAUUGAGAUCUCCAGAAUUCUUCAGGCAACAAGUUGGUGAUAAGUCUGACUCAGGCAACACAGAAAUGAGAUCCUGCAUGCAUGGGCCAAAAACAAAGUGACUCAAUCAGCUGAAUAGCUUUUGAAGACUUCAGAUAAUUCUUACCUGUGCCUCAGUUUCCUCUCUCUCAGAUCUGGAAAACAGACAACAGGAAGCUUACUUAAUACUUUCAAACUAGUUUUUGAGAACUGAACAUGAAGCAACACAAAAGAAAAGCAAAACACUAACUAAAACAUUCAUUAUUUACUGUAUCUAUUAAAGAGCCCAUAUCUCUUCUAGCCAGGCUCAGAGUCCUGUUUUGCUGGGCACUCUGCGAGUAUAAAAAUGAAAGACAACUUCUACCUUGAAA
Molecule: non-coding RNA, 621 nt
Organism: Meleagris gallopavo (turkey)
Lineage: Eukaryota; Metazoa; Chordata; Aves; Galliformes; Phasianidae
Source: RefSeq, a predicted model, not a curated record